CACUGUCUCAAGUAAAAAUUUUAUGAAAUUAAGAUAAUAGUUAAGACGCUAUUUCAAACUGUAAGACGAAAAGACCCUAUAGAGCUUAACUAUAAACUUUUUUGAUAAAGAUCAUCAAAAAAUGAUUAUAAAAGAAAGUUAGGUAGUUUAGUUGGGGCGACUGUCUUCUAAAAAGAACGAAGACUAGCAAAGUUAAUAAAAAUAACUUAUUGUUUAAUAAAUUUAUUUAACAAUUACAAAAGUAGGCUAUAAUGACCCAUUGAACUUAAGAAAGUAAAUCAAUGAUUAAAAAAUAAAAGCUACCUUAGGGAUAACAGGAUAAUUUUGUUUUAGAGAUCAUAUCGAAGACAAAGUUUGUCACCUCUAUGUUGAAUUGAGAUAUCCUGAUAAUGCAGAAGUUAUCAAAGGUAGGUCUGUUCGACCUUUAAAAUC
Molecule: ribosomal RNA, 432 nt
Filed under: Turritopsis dohrnii
Lineage: Eukaryota; Metazoa; Cnidaria; Hydrozoa; Anthoathecata; Oceaniidae
Description: partial 16S ribosomal RNA
Rfam family: Bacterial large subunit ribosomal RNA
Source: RNAcentral